Nicotiana sylvestris (wood tobacco) is the source of this 106-nucleotide non-coding RNA. Lineage: Eukaryota; Viridiplantae; Streptophyta; Magnoliopsida; Solanales; Solanaceae. The record is from Rfam.
UGGACAGAUUAUUGUAUUCGACUGUAUUUGACUGUAUUCACGGCGUGAAACAGGGGAUUACACUGUUUUUAAACGAAAAGUAAAUCAAUUAACAUAAUAGACUCCU